GGUGUGGCUCAGUGGCAGAGUGCUUGCCUAGCAUGUGUGAGGCACUGGGUUCGAUUCUCAGCACC
This 65-nucleotide transfer RNA is filed under the name Urocitellus parryii (Arctic ground squirrel). Its description in RNAcentral is "Spermophilus parryii (Arctic ground squirrel) tRNA". It matches the Rfam family "tRNA". Rfam says of the family: Transfer RNA (tRNA) molecules are approximately 80 nucleotides in length. RNAcentral also lists the same sequence under 1 other name. The record is from Rfam by way of RNAcentral. Lineage: Eukaryota; Metazoa; Chordata; Mammalia; Rodentia; Sciuridae.